RNAcentral lists this ribosomal RNA (509 nucleotides) under uncultured bacterium. RNAcentral describes it as "bacterial SSU rRNA". It matches the Rfam family "Bacterial small subunit ribosomal RNA", at positions 1 to 526 of the family's 1533-position model. The record is from RNAcentral.
ACUAGCAGUAAGAGUUUGAUCCUGGCUCAGAAUGAACGCUGGCGGCGUGGAUUAGGCAUGCAAGUCGAACGCCAAAGCGGGGCAACCCGCGAGUAGCGUGGCGAAAGGGUGAGUAAUGCUUGGAUGACCUGCCUUCGAGACGGGGAUAACAGUCCGAAAGGACUGCUAAUACCCGAUGGUCCGUGUCGGUUGACUCCGAUCCGGUAAACGGUUGAUUCCGCUCGUAGAGGGGUCCAAGUCCUAUCAGCUAGUUGGUGAGGUAACGGCUCACCAAGGCUUUGACGGGUAGGCGGACUGAGACACGGCCCAGACUCCUACGGGAGGCAGCAGUGGGGAAUUUUGGACAAUGGGGGCAACCCUGAUCCAGCCAUGCCGCGUGUGUGAAGAAGGCCUUCGGGUUGUAAAGCACUUUCGGACGGAACGAAAUCGCGCGGAUCAAUAACCCGCGUGGAUGACGGUACCGUAAGAAGAAGCACCGGCUAACUACGUGCCAGCCGCCGCGGUAAUUC